This 73-nucleotide transfer RNA is filed under the name Bacteroidales bacterium. Its description in RNAcentral is "tRNA-Lys". It matches the Rfam family "tRNA". Rfam says of the family: Transfer RNA (tRNA) molecules are approximately 80 nucleotides in length. Their secondary structure includes four short double-helical elements and three loops (D, anti-codon, and T loops). Further hydrogen bonds mediate the characteristic L-shaped molecular structure. tRNAs have two regions of fundamental functional importance: the anti-codon, which is responsible for specific mRNA codon recognition, and the 3' end, to which the tRNAs corresponding amino acid is attached (by aminoacyl-tRNA synthetases). tRNAs cope with the degeneracy of the genetic code in two manners: having more than one tRNA (with a specific anti-codon) for a particular amino acid; and 'wobble' base-pairing, i.e. permitting non-standard base-pairing at the 3rd anti-codon position. Lineage: Bacteria; Pseudomonadati; Bacteroidota; Bacteroidia; Bacteroidales. The record is from RNAcentral.
GUGUUCGUAGCUUAAUUGGAAGAGCGUUUGAUUUUUAAUCAAGAGGUUGGGAGUUCGAGUCUCUCCGGACACA